AACGAACGCUGGCGGCAUGCCUAACACAUGCAAGUCGAACGAUUGCCUUCGGGUGAUAGUGGCGCACGGGUGCGUAACGCGUGGGAAUCUGCCCUUAGGUUCGGAAUAACAGCUGGAAACGGCUGCUAAUACCGGAUGAUAUCGCGAGAUCAAAGAUUAUCGCCUGAGGAUGAGCCCGCGUUGGAUUAGGUAGUUGGUGGGGUAAAGGCCUACCAAGCCGACGAUCCAUAGCUGGUCUGAGAGGAUGAUCAGCCACACUGGGACUGAGACACGGCCCAGACUCCUACGGGAGGCAGCAGUGGGGAAUAUUGGACAAUGGGCGCAAGCCUGAUCCAGCAAUGCCGCGUGAGUGAUGAAGGCCCUAGGGUUGUAAAGCUCUUUUACCCGGGAAGAUAAUGACUGUACCGGGAGAAUAAGCCCCGGCUAACUCCGUG
This 434-nucleotide ribosomal RNA is filed under the name uncultured bacterium. RNAcentral describes it as "partial 16S ribosomal RNA". It matches the Rfam family "Bacterial small subunit ribosomal RNA", at positions 29 to 507 of the family's 1533-position model. The record is from RNAcentral.